Molecule: ribosomal RNA, 251 nt
Filed under: uncultured Desulfovibrionaceae bacterium
Lineage: Bacteria; Pseudomonadati; Thermodesulfobacteriota; Desulfovibrionia; Desulfovibrionales; Desulfovibrionaceae
Description: partial 16S ribosomal RNA
Rfam family: Bacterial small subunit ribosomal RNA
Source: RNAcentral
GCGCACGGGUGAGUAACGCGUGGAUAAUCUGCCUCUGCAAUCGGAAUAACGACUGGAAACGGUCGCUAAUACCGGAUACGCUUAAGUUUUACCUCUUAAGGAAAGAUGACCUCUAUUUAUACGUUAUCGUGCAGAGAUGAGUCCGCGUCCCAUUAGCUUGUUGGCGGGGUAACGGCCCACCAAGGCGACGAUGGGUAGCCGAUUUAAGAGGAUGAUCGGCCACAUUGGAACUGAAACACGGUCCAAACUCC